RNAcentral lists this ribosomal RNA (492 nucleotides) under uncultured bacterium. RNAcentral's name for it is "bacterial SSU rRNA". It matches the Rfam family "Bacterial small subunit ribosomal RNA", at positions 28 to 507 of the family's 1533-position model. The record is from RNAcentral.
GAUGAACGCUAGCUACAGGCUUAACACAUGCAAGUCGAGGGGAAACGACAUCGAAAGCUUGCUUUUGGUGGGCGUCGACCGGCGCACGGGUGAGUAACGCGUAUCCAACCUGCCCACCACUUGGGGAUAACCUUGCGAAAGUAAGACUAAUACCCAAUGAUAUCCCACGAAGGCAUCCGAAUGGGAUUAAAGAUUUAUCGGUGAUGGAUGGGGAUGCGUCUGAUUAGCUUGUUGGCGGGGUAACGGCCCACCAAGGCUACGAUCAGUAGGGGUUCUGAGAGGAAGGUCCCCCACAUUGGAACUGAGACACGGUUCAAACUCCUACGGGAGGCAGCAGUGAGGAAUAUUGGUCAAUGGACGGGAGUCUGAACCAGCCAAGUCGCGUGAGGGAAGAAGGUCCUACGGAUUGUAAACCUCUUUUGCCGGGGAGUAACGUCGUCCACGCGUGGGCGAGUGAGAGUACCCGGAGAAAAAGCAUCGGCUAACUCCGUG